GAUGAACGCUGGCGGCGUGCCUAAUACAUGCAAGUCGAACGAGGUGCUUUUGUAGCAAUACGAGAGUAUCCUAGUGGCGAACGGGUGAGUAACGCGUUGGUGACCUACCCCAAAGUGUGGAAUAACAGUCCGAAAGGAUUGCUAAUACCGCAUGUGGUUAUCGGGUUUAGAAACUGAUAACUAAAGGAGCAAUUCGCUUUGGGAGGGACCUGCGUCCCAUCAGCUAGUUGGUGAGGUAAUGGCUCACCAAGGCUACGACGGGUAGGGGACCUGAGAGGGUGACCCCCCACAAUGGAACUGAAACACGGUCCAUACACCUACGGGUGGCAGCAGUAGGGAAUAUUGCACAAUGGGCGAAAGCCUGAUGCAGCAACGCCGCGUGCACGAUGAAGGCCUUCGGGUCGUAAAGUGCUUUUCUGGGAGAUGAGAAAGGACAGUAUCCCAGGAAUAAGUCUCGGCUAACUACGUG
Molecule: ribosomal RNA, 469 nt
Filed under: uncultured bacterium
Lineage: Bacteria
Description: partial 16S ribosomal RNA
Rfam family: Bacterial small subunit ribosomal RNA
Source: RNAcentral